UACGUAGGGGGCAAGCGUUGUCCGGAUUUAUUGGGCGUAAAGAGCGUGUAGGCGGCCAGGUAGGUCUGCUGUGAAAACUCGAGGCUUAACCUCGAGAUGUCGGCGGAAACCAUCUGGCUAGAGUCCGGAAGAGGAGAGUGGAAUUCCUGGUGUAGCGGUGUAAUGCGCAGAUAUCAGGAAGAACACCCGUGGCGAAGGCGGCUCUCUGGGACGGUACUGACGCUGAGACGCGAAAGCGUGGGGAGCGAACAGG
Molecule: ribosomal RNA, 253 nt
Filed under: uncultured bacterium
Lineage: Bacteria
Description: partial 16S ribosomal RNA
Rfam family: Bacterial small subunit ribosomal RNA
Source: RNAcentral